Xiphias gladius (swordfish) is the source of this 2018-nucleotide long non-coding RNA. RefSeq lists it as uncharacterized. The record is from RefSeq and is a predicted model, not a curated record. The transcript is spliced from 3 exons. Lineage: Eukaryota; Metazoa; Chordata; Actinopteri; Istiophoriformes; Xiphiidae.
CACAAAGACCUGAAGGUAGAGAAAGAGGACACAGGAGAAGAGGUGGAAGAGUAAAAUGAAGAGGGAGGGCAAAGAGACAAAUGGGAUGUCAAAUAGGGAAGCUGUGCAAAGAGUGCAGCCAACUCUGAGCUGCUUCACAGUAGCUUCUAUAAUCCAGACCUUCAGAGAGGAAAAUAUGUCAGUAGAACUGAGAGACGACCACCUAAUGGAGGCAGGAGACGGCUAAUGUAUUUUCAGAAGAGCAAGAGAUGGAAAUCAUCAAUAUGGUCUUAGCCAACAAUAUCAUUCACUUGUGUGAGAUACAAAGGAGAGUUGUAGAGGAUCUGGGAAUAUUCCAAGUCAGCAUCUCAAAAACUGACCACAUUCUUCACCAGAACAGGUUGAGGAUGAAACAGGCCCACGAGUCAAAGACCAGUUCCAGAGAAUCUUUGAGAUGGAAGCCAGAGACACUCCUCAUGAACUCAUCUUUUUUUUUGAUGAUGCAAGAUUUAAUCUUACCAAACGUAGGAGAAGGGGGAGGAACAUAAUUGGCCACCAGGACAUUAUGAACGUCUCUGCCCAGCGAGGAGGGAAUGUGACCAUGCAUGCCAUCAUCAGCCACUGAGAGGUCUUCACCAUUCAUCUGUUCGCUUUCCUCAAUGGUCUGCGAGAUCACGUAAACCGACUAGACCAGAGGGAACCAGCAUAACCAAAGGUGCCGUGCUAUUUUGUACUUUUGGACACUGGAAGUUUCCACCAGGCUGCUCUAGUUUGUGGCUGAUUCAGCAACAACCCAAGAUUUAGCAACAUCUUUCUACCUGCAUAAUCUCCCUCCUUCAACACCAUAGUGGAAUUUUUUUUCAGCAUAGCGGUAGAUCUAUAACCGAGACCCCUACAUCCGUGUUCACCUCCUCCAGGCCAUAGAGGAGGCUUGUUUAGAUAUUGCCAGAGGCUUGCCAGGAGUGGAUAAAGCACACAAGUUUUUUUUGUUCGUUUUUUUUUUCCUCUGCAGUGUGGCUAGGUCUUAUAUUGCCUCUGAUGUGGAUGAGAAUCUCUGGACUGACCCAGACCAGAGAUAGGUUGCUGAUGCAGAAUAAAUAUGAUUUCUUGUAAGUGUUUUUGUUUUUUGUUUUAGAAAAUUUCUAGAAAUUAUUUUACUGUAUUAUUUAUGAGUUGCAUAUUUUAAGGGUACAUUUACUUUUUCAUUCAUUUUCAGUUUAUUUUACUACAGUACACUGAGGAAUUAAAAGUUCUGAAAAUUUAUAAGUGCCUUUAUAUUGUGUUCAUCCUGUAAAUAGGUUGUUCUGCGGGAAAACCUUAAGUGCCAUUAUUCAUUACAGUAACAGGUUUUUAUGGUAAUGUUUUGAAUUGAUCUCACCAUUGUGUAAUGGCUGUUUUUUAGUGUAUGUGUAUUUGAUAGCUUUUGUGUGAUGUCUAAUUGCAAAGUUUGGUUUAGAUGUAAGAUUACAUGAUUUUGGGUGGAGAGUUUGGUUUUUGCAUGGAAGUUUGAAGUUUGUGACAAUGUAUGUGCAGUUAUGUAUUUGUGUUUAGAGGUUUGGGAAAUGGAGCAUAAUUUGGAGAAAUGUGUUUUGGCAAUCAAGGAAAAAAAACCUCAAUUCUUGUAAACUGUAAAAUUGACAUAAUCCCACCACUAAUGCAUUCUUGUUUCACCUCUGCUCUGUAAGUGUCUUCUCUUAUUUUCUCAAUUUUAGAAUAAUUGAUAUACUUUUAUUUAUAAAGCCAUUCUAGACAAACUUCCCUCUUAUCUUUGCAAACUUAUUUUAGAGUUCAUCUUCCAACCAUAAUCUUAGAUCACAAGACACAUAUCUGCUGUCUGUCCCUAGUGUAUGCGGACAGAGAUGGGAAAGAAAGCUUUCAUGUUAUCUGCUCCAGCCAAUUAGAAUUGUUUGCAGGGAAAUGAAAUGAAAGAACUUGGUAUCCCAUUCUGAAAAACUUUAUGGUGAAUGAUUCCUUUAUUAAUUGUCUCUGUUUUUAGCUUAUUUUAGUUUACUAAUUUCAAUGGAAUCUAUCUGGUUAAU